This 3529-nucleotide long non-coding RNA is filed under the name Homo sapiens (human). RNAcentral describes it as "HSALNT0114754". Lineage: Eukaryota; Metazoa; Chordata; Mammalia; Primates; Hominidae. The record is from RNAcentral.
GUGACGCAGGCGCGGUUGGAAAGAAGCUGAGGACUGGAUGUGCGGAAACCAGCCUUCUCCUUGCUGUUGCCAUGUGAAGAAGGAUGUGUUUGCUUCCCCUUCUGCCAUGAUUGUAAGUUUUCUGAAGCCUCUCCAGCCAUGCCAAACUGAAAAGAAGCAUAAGCUGCAAUAAAAAUUUGGUUUCAAGAUAACAAAGUCAGUCCCCAAAAAUCAGUAUUGAGAGUCACUGACAUUAAAUGAUGAAGAUACGAGGAUGGUGUGGGGACCUUUACUCUUCGAAGAUGAGCUAUACAUGCCCCUGAAAAGGCUGUCUGAAGACAGGGGAAGGCUGGAGAUGGCAACUUUGGCCUCUGCCAAGUACUCGUGCUAUUUUCUGUAUGUGAUACUAUCUGUUUUGUAACUCAGAGGCAACACCACAUACCUAGCAUAAGGCUUGAACUCCCUUUGGGGUUAUCAAUUACUUACAUAGCCUUCCUCUAAGGGAAGGCUUGCAAGUGGUUCAUAUUCGACCCUUCCAUGUGAUAAGCAUUCAUGUGGGCUUCACAAUGUAACAGAGGUACACAGAGAUUCUUGUAAACAGAAAAUUUUAUAAAACUGUUAACUGAUCUCACUUUGAAGAAGUCUUACUGACUAGAUGUCAUUUAUCAGAGUAGACAGGCUUAAAAUGCAUUGCUUGUACUAGACUGUUGUAAUGCAUUUUUUUGUUUUUGCAUUGGUUUUUAAUUCAUUUAAUUGGUUUACACUCAUUUUUUUUUUUACAUUCCAUUUUUGCAUUUGUAUGCCAGUUAAAAAUUAUGAAAUGGCACAUUGUGGGAUUUUGUUUAGCUAAAUUCUAGAAAAAUUGAAAGAUACCUUUUAUUCGACUUAAGCCUGAGGUUAUUCAGCACGGUGAUCUCUGCAUUUUUGAAAGGUUGUCUCGUCGUUUAAUAAACGUAAAUAACUUAAGCACAUUGGAAGAGCUAUUAAAUGAGAGCAGGAGAUUAAAAAGACAUGAUUUCUUACUUUAUCCACCUGACAGGAUAGCUUGCAUUGGUGAUUAACCUUGCAUUGUUAAAUUCAUUUCCUAAAUAUUUAGGUAAGUAGUUGGUUUGAUCAUUAUUUGUAAAGUAUUAGUAGUUGCAUGUUGAAUUAUCAUGUUAAGAUUUUUAGUUUGUUGUUCAUGUGAUAUGAAAGAUAACAAUUCCUAAAACUGAAUGCAUGCAUGGCUUAUUCAGCUCAGGUCACAUACAAAGAGAAAUGUGACGCUGCAAUAAACAUAGCAGAGCUAUCUGGGUUUGAAGCAAAAAGGCUAUGACGUUAGGUAUAUGCACUUUACAUUGUAUGUAUCUUUUUAGUUCUAGUGAACUCAUCUGGAAUCAUGUUACAGAAAAUGAUUCUCCAGGUCCAAACACAUUUAAGUUUAAUGACUGGGACUACUCUAACAAUUGCGGCUAUCUCAUUUUGUCUCAUUGGUUCAUUAGCAUAGCACCCAUUUAAGAACAACUACUUCUAAACACAGUAAUAUUUCAGAGGCUAUAAAAUAAUAGAGAAAGAAAACUUAAAAAAUCCUUUGUUUGCAGCCAAGAAAAUGUGAGGAUCAGAUUUGUACUUGUUUUGAACAAUUGGAAACUGUCACAAUUGUUUUUAAGAUGUAAUAAAUGUAUAUAAAAUAUGGGAUUCUAUAGUAUUAGCCAUUUUGAUAUCUUUUGUUGAAAGAAAAAACCAAAAAACCCCAUAUGUUCUAAGUCUCAGAAAUCAAAGAAUUCCACAAUUUUCAUUUCCACUAAAAUAUUUAUUUAAUGGAUAUCUUACAGAAAUAAAUAAAAACAGUUUUUGUCUAAUACAGAUAGGUUUUUUUAUAUAUAUGUAAUUUGAUUUUACAAAAUUGAAGCAUAUCAAAUUGUUUUCUCUAAAACAUAGCUCAGAAAGGAAUAGUAGAAAACAAACACAAAGAAAUACUGAAAUAGUCUCAUUUUUAAAUUAUAAGCAUGGGCCUUCUGAAUCUCAGCAUGACAUGUUAUUAGUAAAAGAAUGUAAGAUAUGGAGUCAGGGGACCUGGGCUCCACUGUUUACUUGCUACAUGUCCUAAGAAAGUUUCAAUAUAUCUGAACUUCAGUUCUCUACCUUUAAAACAGUAAAGAUAUUAAUUAUAUCAACUUCACAAGAUUGUUGGGUAAAUUAAACACGUAAAUGUACAUGAAAGCUCUUUUUAAUAUGUGAAGAGCUAUAAAAAUAACAGUUUGAUUUAAUUUCAUAUAAAAGAAUCAAUGGAUACCUCCUUUUAACUGAAGAAUAAGCACCAAAAGCAUGUGUGUGUUUUCUUCAGUUGAAUUACAUCACUCUAUAAACCUAGAGUAAGAAAAUGCACCUUAACUAAGCACCAAAGCCUCUCGGACAAAUGGGAUCUAGGGAAUGGUUCUAUGAGUUUUCCAGGCAGCUAACUGGGAGCUAAUAAGUCCUGAGGGUCAAAGAGGGUCCUUUAAAACUCUGAAGGCUCAAAGAAAAGGAAGCCAAAUAAGAACAUUUGUAUUACAUCAAAUGGCUAGGAUGUAACAAGCUACUCCUUAUUCAGCAAUUUCAAAGUCCAUUAAUUCCUCACAGAAGAAGAAACACUUCGUUAUUAUCACUUGCAACGAUUUGCUUAUGUGAACAUGGCAUUCUCUUGUUCAAAAGGUCAAAGACUCGUGCUUAAGGGAGGAACAACUGGAGUGAAAUAACAACUCUACCAUGAAUUCAGAUAUCACUGGCUAAAAAGUCUAGUUACACAAGAACAUGGGAAAGAAAAAGAAUCCAAGACAUCAGUAUAAUAAUGAUUAAAAAAAAAACCCUGCCAUAUUUCCAUGUUAUAAUAAAACAAAAUCAUAAAAACUGCAAUAUUUACAGAUACAUCAAUCUUACAACAUAUAAAAACUUUAACAAUAAGAAAAAUUAAGAGUAGGGAAAGCAGAUAAUUUUAAGGUAAUCAUUAAUACAUUAAAAAAUCUAUUUGGAGUUAACUGUUUACACUAACACCACUUUACACAUAAUAGAAAUAUGAAUAUUUUCAUUGUUUUUGUUUUCAGUAGCAAGAUGCAGAAGAAACAAAUAACUGUCUAACAUUAACUUAUUGUAAGGAGUUGUAUUACUGCAAAAUUACUAGGUGUAAAGUUAUGGUAUAAGCCUACUCAAAAAAUGGGUUAAUAUAAUUCACCAUCUACUUAAAAUAUUACUAACAAGAUAUUGGUGAAUCAUGUGCUAAAGAUACUGAAGGCCCUUCCAAAACUGAGAUCUAUGUUUGUUCAAUAUACCAGGUCAUAUAAAACUAGACUAGUUUACUUUCUUAUUCCAACUGUUUUAUGAGUGAUCUUAUCAUAAGAAAAGUACACAUUACCUCUCUUAAUUCCCUUGCAUCAUCAGAUAUAGAUACUAUUUGGGACAAAAAAUAAAUGUUUUAUUAGGAGUGUAAAAUUAAGAAUCUUUAUAGAUCUUUUGGAAACAGUAUAUUGAAAAGGACUCAAUAAGUACUAAGCCACUGUAUAACCAGAACAAUAAACAAAUUCAUUCAACUAGG